Molecule: long non-coding RNA, 318 nt
Organism: Lagenorhynchus albirostris (white-beaked dolphin)
Lineage: Eukaryota; Metazoa; Chordata; Mammalia; Artiodactyla; Delphinidae
Exons: 2
Source: RefSeq, a predicted model, not a curated record
UGGGCUGUGGGAUAUCUGGACUUCUCUCAUUCUGGGUUUGGUCUCAGUGCUCUCCCUCUCCACGUGGUUCCUUUCUCCAGCAGGUAGCUGGACCCCUCACAUGGUAGCUCAGGGCCCCCCAAAGGGAGCAUUCCUAGGGGAGGAAGCAAAAACUUCCAGUCUCUUAAAGACUAAGCUUGGAACUAGCACAACGUCACUUCCACCACAUCUCAUUGGAAUUGGCUAGCCCUGGGAGGGGCAGUCCCUCCAAUGUCAGCAAGGCCCCAGAUGUCAAAGCACCAGAAAUACAGAAAUAAAAAGCCAUGAUUAAUGCAUAAA